GAUGACUUGCCCAAAACUGUUGUUAUGACUCUAAAUCAAGGAUCAGCUGUCAAGAGUAUGGAUUUCCAUCCACUGCAGCAGAUUCUACUUCUUGUUGGAACAAACAUGGAUGAUGUCAUGGUAUGGGAGUUAGGUAGCCGUGAAAGGAUCGCUCUUAGAAAUUUCAAAGUUUGGGAUCUUGGAGCACGUUCAAUGCCUCUGCAGGCAUCUAUCACCAAU
Long non-coding RNA from Juglans regia (Persian walnut), 219 nucleotides. RefSeq lists it as uncharacterized. The record is from RefSeq and is a predicted model, not a curated record. Lineage: Eukaryota; Viridiplantae; Streptophyta; Magnoliopsida; Fagales; Juglandaceae. The transcript has 3 exons.